UAUAAGUCUCAAAACGCUUGCUCUGCGCCAGUGGAUACACACCAUAGACAGUAAAAGAAAUAUGUGCAUGUCACAGACUGUCUGGGCAUGCACUUCCGCGUUUCAGAGAUCCGCCUUUUACUUUCCGUCAACAUUACAUUAAUUAACGUUUAGAAAAUUUAUUUUUGACAUUUGUGAAUCAGUUCAGAAUCGUCUGCUUAUGCAUUGCGAUACAUUUAAGAAUCACAUUUUUAUCCCACCCCUACUAAAUAUAGAGACACUUUGACAAGUGGGCACUGGAUGCUGAGUAUGGAAGGCGAGGUGGUGUGUGAGGGCACUCAGCCCAGUUUCCUGUCCGGCCUUGCCACUCUGUUUGCUGCUUAUUACUAGUUUAAUCUUGAGUAUCAGGAGGAAGCAGUGUGUACCUUGGAGUUCAUUCAAAGGUGCUUUGUGGGCAUAAAUCCAGAGAGAGGACCCAAAGCCAAGGGAAAAGUGCCAUCGAAAUAAAAACAGGACAAGUGAUACAGAAGAAAAUGUGUGGCAGUCAACCCACAUGUUGCCACUCUUCUGUGCAAAUUCCAAUGGAAUUUCUGAAAUUCACACUUUGAAUCCUGGGAUGGAACUUCAUCUGGAGCAUAAUUGUUAUUUGGUUGAUUUUUAUCUGUUUGAUGGAAAGUUUGUAUGACUUCUGCAAGUGCGCGGCUCCUUCCGGUCAGUCAUGCAUCACUUUUUUUUGUUAGGGGUGCUCCGAUCACGAUCGGCCGAUCGUUAAUGCGCAUUUCGUCAGUAAAGCCGGUUUUCUAAUCAGCGGUUAAUUCCAUCAGGUGCGUGAUUUCACAUAGAGCAGCUGUUACUACACAGAGCCGUUGUUAACUGAGAAGAUGGGCCAAUAAACGCUGAAAAUUAACGUGAUUUGCGCAUCUUCUCUAUUAACAACGGCUCUGUGUAGUAACAGCUGCUCUAUGUGAAAUCACGCACCUGAUGGAAUUAACCGCUGAUUAGAAAACCGGCUUUACUGAGGAGAUACGCAUAACGAUCGGCCGAUCGUGAUCGGAGCACCUCUAUUUUUUGUAUGACUUGUUUGGCAAUAUUGGUCUAUUCCUUAAUGAUGAUAGCUAUCUGAAAAUGUCUUUGUGGUUUUUAAAGGAUUAGUUCACCCAAAAAUGAAAAUUAAGUCAAUAAUUACUUAUGUCGUUCCACACCCGUAAGAUCUUCGUUCAUCCUCACAACACAUAAUAAGAUGUGGCUCAGUGAAGCGUGCAUUUCUAGCAAGAUCAUUUCUUUUUUUCAAUGCCCAGAAAGCCUCUAAAACAUUUAAAACAAUUCAUGUGACUACAGUUGUUCAACCUAAAUAUUAUAAAGCGACGAGAAUACUUUUUUUGCCAACCCCCCCCCCCCACCCCCAUCUCCCAAAACAACGAUUUUAUUCAACUAUAUCUAGUGAUGGGCGAUCUCAAAACACUGCUUCAUGAAGCUUAGAAGCUUUACGAAUCUUUUGUUUCAAAUCAUUUGCUCAGAACGUGUAUCAAACUGCAAAAGUCACACGAACCAUUGAAAUUUCAAAACACUUAUGACGUAACGAAGCCUCAUUUACUGAAAUCAUGUGACUUUGGCAGUUUGAUAUGCUCUGAUUUGAACUGAAAGAUUAAUAAAGCUUUGAAGCUUCAUGAAGCAGUGUCAUCCAUCACGAGAUACUGUUGAAUAGUCAUUAUUUAGUUUUUUGGCACACAAAAAGUAUUUUCAUUGCUUCAUUACACUAAGGUUGAACCACUGUAGUCACAUAAACUGUUUUAAAUAUUUUUUUAGUACCUUUCUGGGCAUUGGAAAGGGAAAUGAUCUUGCUAGCAAUGUAGGCAUCACUGGGCCAUCAGGUUUUAUAAAAAAUAUCUUAAUGUGUGUUGUGAAGAUGAACAAAGGUUUUAAGGGUGUGGAAUGACAUGAGGGUGAGAAAUGACAGAAUUUUCACUUUUGGGUGAACUGUUUUAAUAUGACCAUGUUGGUCAUGUUUCGGUUAUAACGCAGUUUGAAUAUUUCUUUGUGUCAAGGUCCAUGAUGGCCAUUAUGUUCCAAGUAAUAAAAAAGAAAUCAUGCCAAAAUUUCAUAUCCAUUUAAAAAAAAAUGAAAUAAUUUUAAAAUAAAUAAAAAUGAGUUCAAAAUAA
Carassius gibelio (silver crucian carp) is the source of this 2138-nucleotide long non-coding RNA. RefSeq lists it as uncharacterized. Lineage: Eukaryota; Metazoa; Chordata; Actinopteri; Cypriniformes; Cyprinidae. The transcript is spliced from 4 exons. The record is from RefSeq and is a predicted model, not a curated record.